UACGGAGGGGGCUAGCGUUGUUCGGAAUUACUGGGCGUAAAGCGCACGUAGGCGGCUUUGUAAGUUAGAGGUGAAAGCCCGGGGCUCAACUCCGGAACUGCCUUUAAGACUGCAUCGCUAGAAUUGUGGAGAGGUGAGUGGAAUUCCGAGUGUAGAGGUGAAAUUCGUAGAUAUUCGGAAGAACACCAGUGGCGAAGGCGGGUCUCUGGGCCGAUACUGACGCUGAGGAGCGAAAGCGUGGGGAGCGAACAGG
RNAcentral lists this ribosomal RNA (253 nucleotides) under uncultured bacterium. RNAcentral's name for it is "partial 16S ribosomal RNA". It matches the Rfam family "Bacterial small subunit ribosomal RNA", at positions 524 to 776 of the family's 1533-position model. The record is from RNAcentral.